GCCAGGUGUGGUGGUGCACGCCUGUAGUCCUAGCUACUUGGGAGGCUGAGGUAGGAGAAUCGCUUGAGCCUGGGAGUUCCAGGCUGCAGUGAGCUGUGACUGUAUCUCUGCACACUCCAGCCUGGGCAACAGAGUGAGACCCUGUCUCUA
Molecule: signal recognition particle RNA, 150 nt
Filed under: Pan troglodytes (chimpanzee)
Lineage: Eukaryota; Metazoa; Chordata; Mammalia; Primates; Hominidae
Description: Metazoan signal recognition particle RNA
Rfam family: Metazoan signal recognition particle RNA
About the family: The signal recognition particle (SRP) is a universally conserved ribonucleoprotein. It is involved in the co-translational targeting of proteins to membranes.
Source: Rfam by way of RNAcentral